This 253-nucleotide ribosomal RNA is filed under the name uncultured bacterium. RNAcentral's name for it is "partial 16S ribosomal RNA". It matches the Rfam family "Bacterial small subunit ribosomal RNA", at positions 524 to 776 of the family's 1533-position model. The record is from RNAcentral.
UACGAAGGGGGCUAGCGUUGUUCGGAAUUACUGGGCGUAAAGCGUGCGCAGGCGGUCUCUCAAGUCAGGGGUGAAAGCCCAGAGCUCAACUCUGGAACUGCCCUUGAAACUGUGAGGCUCGAGUACGGGAGAGGUGAGUGGAAUUCCCAGUGUAGAGGUGAAAUUCGUAGAUAUCGGGAGGAACACCAGUGGCGAAGGCGGCGACCUGGACGGACAUUGACGCUGAGACGCGAAAGCGUGGGGAGCAAACAGG